CAGGACGCAGAACCCUGGUGAGCUGAUUUGGUCUGAACAAGGCACCAGCUGUGUGGAAUGCCAGACCGGUAAGUUUGGUUUUGUAUGUGCCUGGUGUCAUUUUUCAGUUGGGCUAACACUGCACAGCAAUUUAGACAAGCAGACCCUAUUUCCAUGCAAGUCAGGGGCUGACAUGGGAUGGAACACACACACACACACACACCAAAAGAGAAGUACUGUUGUAGAGGGAUGUGCUGCUCUUCUCAUACUAUGCUCCAGUAGGCAUGAGGGAAAAGCAAGACAAUAGCUUUCCAUAUUUUCCUUUUUUCCCCCUUAGAAUUCAUUGAUAAACAUUAAUGUUAUUAACCAUAACUAAACAAGUGCUUCUUAUUUUUUUCCCACAAGUGAAACCUUAAAAAAAUAAAAUAAAAUAGUUUACAAUGUGAAACAUACAUUCCUUGGAAUGUAUAUUUGAUUUAAAAAUAGUUCUCUUCCAUAUUUCUCUACUUUUUAAAGCAACACAGAACAGAAAAGGUAUCUGAGAGAAGCUCAAGAGUUACUUUAAUGUGCUAAAAACACACACAAUUUAAACUUUCUGUUCAUUGAAUGUUCAUCCUGAUUUGUUUGCACAAAGUUUGUGGGGAGGUUAGACGAUGCAAGCUAUUUACUGAGUAUUCAUUCUGAUUAUUUGGCAGGGAGGAUAAGACAGCCUGGAAGCACUCUAAGGUGCCCUGGUACUUUCUGUGUACUUGCAACUACAGUCAUACCUCGGGUUAAAUGUGCUUCAGGUUGAGCGUUUUCAAGUUACGCUCCGCGGCGACCCGGAAGUAAUGGAGCACGUUACUUCCGGAUUUUGCUGCUCGUGCAUGCGCAGAUGCUCAAAAUGACGUCACGCGCAUGCGCAGAAGUGGCAAAACGCGACCCGCGCACACGCAGACGCGCAAUCUCGUCUUAUGUUCUACUCAAGAUGCGAACGGGGCUCUGGAACGGAUCCUGUUCACAUCCAGAGGUAUCACUGUAUAGACCAAAACUAGUAUCACAGCUAGAAUAAUUUCCUAAAUUGAUUAGUGUUCAGUGUUCAGAUAUUACAUUAGCAGCUGUGUGGAAUAAAUGCAGUUGCAAUUUUUAGAAAGCAGUAAUAGGCAAACACAUGCACACACGUACACCCACUCUACCCAAAAGCAUUCUGCCUGUUCAGUCUGCAGCUCUUUUCCUAACACCUGCCAGAAUCUGACACAGCUUCAGUAGUCUCUCCUGUGUCAAGCUGUCAGGUGUUGUGUGGUGUUAGAAAAAGAACAUGUCAGAAAGUUCUGGUUUCAAAAGCAGCCUCCUGACUUACUGUUGUGAUCCCACAUUUGUGCAUGUAACAAAACAGCAGUGGAAGUCAACAAUAUUUUACAGACUUCUUUUAUUUAGAACAUUUAUGAACAGUCUUUCUGAGCACACAGAAUGUGCGCAAUUCAAAGCUAAAAGCAAACUUAAACAAACAAGCAUUUUAAAAGCAGAAGGGAAGUCCACAAAAACAUCAACAUAAAAAUCACCAAAGAGCAUGAGCAUUUCAAGGUUCACAAAAACACAAGGAUUUAAAAACCACCAUCAGAUUAAGGGUACUUCCAGACUGUGAAUAUUUUGCGGGAAGCAUGCAUGUGUGUAUUGUAAAUUUAGGUUUAUGCAUUUUAAGUGCUCUGGUUAAUGUGCUCUGUCACCCUACCUCAACGAAUCUACUUUUUUUGCAGUUUGGAAAGUGAUGGGGAAAUGCACUGAAAAGUGUGAGCAAAUAAUGAGAAGACAUGUAAACACCUCACAAGCAAAUCAGGAUAAAUGCAAGAAGGAGGCUCAUUCUCAUAUAACUGCCUUUGAAACAAAUCAGUACAAAUAGUCAAUAAAGACCACACAUAGUCUAACUACCCUGUAAGCUUUAUACAAGCAAAAUCAGGAUGAAUGCAGAAUAAACAGGUUAUCCGGAGAAGCCCCAAAACUAAGCUGCUGACAAUAGAGA
RNAcentral lists this long non-coding RNA (1978 nucleotides) under Podarcis lilfordi (Lilford's wall lizard). Lineage: Eukaryota; Metazoa; Chordata; Lepidosauria; Squamata; Lacertidae. The record is from RNAcentral.